GCCAAUAUCUCUGAUCUACUUGC
Molecule: non-coding RNA, 23 nt
Filed under: Arabidopsis thaliana (thale cress)
Lineage: Eukaryota; Viridiplantae; Streptophyta; Magnoliopsida; Brassicales; Brassicaceae
Source: RNAcentral